CAGCAAUCACGUGGUUAGCCUGGGUUUGGGUGACCAUCGUGAGAACAGAGGAGCCGUGGUAGCAACGGGGGAGAAGAAGCCCAGGAUUGACAACACAGUUCUCACAAGCGUUAAACCCAGGGCAGGAAUUUGGUCCGAGCACAAUAGUGAAUUAGUUACCAUGGAAACCGUCCUGACGAGAGUGCUCAAACUAAAACGCACAAUCAGGCCUGGGAGAUGACUUGGCGGUGAAGAGCACACACUGGGAGAUGACUUGGUGGUGAAGAGCACACACUGGGAGAUGACUUGGCGGUGAAGAGCACACACUGGGAGAUGACUUGGUGGUGAAGAGCACGCACUGGGAGAUGACUUGGUGGUGAAGAACACGCACUGGGAGAUGACUUGGUGGUGAAGAGCACGCACUGGCAGAUGACUUGGUGGUAAAGAGCACGCACUGCCUUUGCGGGGGCUCUGGGUCAGUUCCUGGUACCCACAUGUGGAUACACAACUACCAGUAACUCCAGUUCCUGGGGACCUAACACCCUUCUGUUCUCCAAAGGCACCAGAUAUGUAUGUGGUACAUAUACAUACAUGCAAAUAAAACAUUCAUACACAUAACGUAAAAAAAAGAAGAAUCAAAGAAAGAGUCAAAGGCUGUAGUGGUGCACAAUCUCAGAACUCUGGGAGAGGGAGCCGGAGGAUCUCAAAUUUGAGGCUAGUCUGGGCUGUAGUGUCCAGAACAAUGGCGAGCAGAUAAGCUCGGUGUCUUCUAAACUCAUCUUUUAUGUCCCAGAGAAAAGCUAGUGCCAAGGUUGGGGGAUAAGGCCCAGGACGUGCCUAAGAUGGAGCUUCUAACAGGAAGUUCAUGCCUAGAACAAGAGUUCUCAAGCGACUGCAUUCAGAUCAAAGACUGAAAUAGAUAAAGCCAGAACAAUAAGGGGACAGCUAGGAAGCCUGUCUCAACCACAUCCCUUUGAAAAUUUGUUUUCUCCUGAUGAGUCAGGCCCCACAUGAGUGUUUAUUCUGACAUCAUGCUGCCUCUGUGCUUCCAAAAUAUUAAAUUAGAGAAUUAAAUGCAAAGCAGUUUUAGUAUAGCAGUGUCCUAAAACAAAUGGGAACAGCAAAGGCAGCACUAAAGACAUUAGCCAGGCUGAAAACCACCGGUCCAUAGGAGUUCCGGGACAAGUGGAUAUUCUAUAGUCCACAUUUACAAAGUAAGAGUUCUGAUGACUGUGAGAGCCCACAGAGAAAAGAAGCUGAGAACAACCACAAACGCCUCAUUCAUUGGAACAGUCUGGAAAGUCAUGCAAACAUAACUGGUCUUAAUCUGUUUAUCAAGUAUUCUCAAAGAAAUAGGAAACAGGAACUUGGAGUCUUGAAAUAAAAGCGGCACCAAAGCUAACACUGUGUCAGUUAGGAAGCAGAUCCGACACAGGUGAAGCAAGUCCACGACCUAGGAAACAGAUGAAAGCGUUUGAUCAAAUACAAUCCAGAGGCCCCAUCAGAUGGGGAAUGUGCAAGAGAGCGUAGGAAGUUUGGAGGGUAGAUGAGACCAUCUAACGUGCAACCAAAGGAGCAAUAUUGAAGAUAGAAUGAAUGAGAACGUUUCAGAACUUUUCGAAGGCAACAAAUUCACAGAACCAAAGAUCCCAAAGGAUCUUGAGAGGAGAGGAAGGGGGAGGAAGGACUCCAUAGCUUCUUUCUGUUGUUGUUACUGUUGUUUUUUUUGUUUGUUUUGUUUUGUUUUGUUUUGUUUUUCAAGGCAGGGUUUCUCUGUGUAGCCCUGGCUGUCCUGGAGCUCACAGAGGUCUGCCUACCUCUGCCUCCCGAAUGCUGGGAUUAAAGGUGUGCACCACCACUGCCCAGCCCAUAGCUUGAUUUAUUACUUGUGAACCUGAUGAACAUUAAAAAAAAAAGAGAGAGAUUCUAAGAUUAGUUCUCAAAGUCAAUGGAAAUAUUUGUAAGAGCAUAAAGUCUACAGCAGGCUUUUUUUUUCUGGGUGGGUGAUUAUGACUUGUGUUAGCCCUGAACCUUAAUGCUAACACCCUAUAGUUGCAGAAGCACUGUCUAGUAAACACGACCGAGGCUGCAGCAAUGGCCUGAACACCAUGUUUUACUGAAGAGGCACACAACACAGCGAGCUAGAGUCUGCUGGACCAGGGCCAGGACUCAGGUCGUUCAACUCAGCUCCAAGGGCAGUCAGUCGUUGGAAAUAUUUUGCUCUUAUUCUAGUGGUAUUUCUUUAGUAUGUUUAGCAAAAGCAAAGAAAAAACAAAAUGUGAGGAACAUUACAGUUUAAUCUGUCAGGACAUUUUUUGGGGGGGUGCCAUUCUUAUUUCGUGUAUGGGAUUUAAUACUUGGCCACAUUACUAGUCUCUAGGAAGACUGGGCUCAGCUGCUCACCCUGUUCCUGGUGAAAGGGAGAGAAGCCUUGACUCAUUUCCUUCUAGUGUGGAAGAAGGUAUGAGGUAGAAGAGGAAGGUUGUAGACUCGUGUUUAAAGCUCAGGCACAGAGAGUUUGGCACAACAUUGGCUGGAAGGCAACAGAGGACAGGCAGGAGACACCUCAGUAUAUCCAAAGGCUUUGCUGGGAACUAAAUAUACAGGGAAAGGGGAGCCAAGCCAUAGCGUGGCCUUUGACUCAGACAGCUCAGGAGAGGUGGUAGGGGCCAUCCGACUUGCUUUACUUCAGCUCAUGUCAGAACUGGUGUGGCCUGCUGACUAAAAUGUUUACGUCAAAGACCCACAAGGAAGACAGUUUACAGGGGAAAGGAACGGUGACUUCAAGAUGUAUCACUCUGCUUCUUCACGAAGAGAAAGUCUCAUAUGCGCUCACCACAAAGUGUUUCUUGUUCUCAGCUAAUGUACCGCAGAGAUAGCCCUACCGGGUUUGAAAACAUCGGCAGCUGGCAGCAAUACAGUCAAAAGAGAUUGCUUAACUGAGGAGGAGAAGUUGCUCGCUGAUGUGAGCCUGGACACGGUACAGAAAUCAAACAAAGCCUUAGAUGGUUUCUGCAGAAUGUACAGUUCUCAAUCCUCACUAGAAUAGCUUUCCUGGCACGGCCCUGACUUCCAUCAGCUGGUUUGUUGUUUGUUUUUGAAGGGAAGCAUGAGAUUUUCCAGACUGCAACACUUUGGAUUUGGAAGCUCGGCCUCAAAGUAAAGCAUACUGUCUCUUUAAACCGAUUCUCUCGGAAAGGAGCAGGCUUGUCUGUGCCCGAUGCAUUCAUUUCUCAGUGACACAAAACACUAAAUAAAAAGAAGUUUGUUUUUCUCAGGACACCACGGGCUUAUGUUUAGAGCCAGUAAAAGUAUCACUAACUCCAUUCUUGGUGUACAGGAUGCUCCAAGACGCUUCUAGAACAGACCCUAUGCACUCGUAGGUAUCAUUUAAAGGCAACCGUAGAAAACAAUAAGCACCAGCAAGAGGAGUCUGUGAAAAGGUAAGGCAUGUGUUUGUAGAAAUGAGGAAAGAAGGUUCUAGACUUUAGCAUUUAAGACCCAAAGAAGGAAGCUCAAAGUAGUAAAUACAAUAGCAAAAUUGCCCUGGUGGAAAUGUGCCAACAGCAUUUAAAAAGUUUAUAUAAAUAUAUCACAUGCCUUUCUCUGUUUUCAAGCCAGGCAGAUUAGUUCACAUCUGUGACCCCAACAUUCAAGAGGUUUAGGCAAGAGGAUUGCCACAAGUUCAAGGCUAGCAUGGGCUACAUAGUGAAUUCUGAACCAGCCUGGGUUACAUAGAGAGACAUUGUUUCAAAGAUAAAGCAAAUAUGUGUGUGUGUAUUCUGAUGUAAAUGUGUGAGUUUUCAAGAAAGGACGUCAACUGCAGUGCUUGCUAGUUAACUAAAAGCAAGGUUCAAAAAUGGGCUUUGCCUAAACUUUUAAGAAAGAAUUUAUCAUUUAAUGUGUAUGUUUUAUGUGUACCACAUGCACACAGCGCCUGAGAUUCAUGUACAUCACAUGCAGGCAGUGUCUGUGGAAGCCAGAAGUAGGGACCAGAUACCCAGGGAAUUGAGUUAUAAACAGUUGUGAUUUGUCAUAUGGGUGCUGGGAACCCAACCCAGGUCCUUUGCAAGUCAGCCAGUGUUUGUAACACCGGGCAUCUCUCUACCCCAGUGCCUAAACUUGCUAUCCUGAGGAUAACACGCCCAGCAAGAGGUGAAGCUGUCCUUGAUGGGGUGUGAGGGAGAAAGUUGGCUAGCUGGCUGUCCGGACUCACUCUAUAACCAGCCAGUCAGCUUGAGGUGCUUAAGUGUCACAUGUGUGAUUUGGUUUAUCAAAUGUGGUAAACAAAGCAAACAUUUAUUAAAUAAAUUUCAUAUCACCUCAACAGUAUCACAACUGUGAAAAUUAGUGGGGCAGAUUAUGAUCGAUUUGUUACUACUUGACAAUAACCCUAACUAGAUUUUCUUAACGUA
This is a long non-coding RNA of Arvicola amphibius (Eurasian water vole), 4394 nucleotides long. RefSeq lists it as uncharacterized. The record is from RefSeq and is a predicted model, not a curated record. The transcript has 2 exons. NCBI's taxonomy places the organism in Eukaryota, Metazoa, Chordata, Mammalia, Rodentia, Cricetidae.